AAAAAUUGUACAUUUUGUUGAGCUGCUAAACAGCUUGCGUGCGGACUGUAUACAACCAAGUAUACUAUUUCAUCCGAACGCAAGUCUGCUUAAUCUUAAGGGGACUGAUAAUGGCUUUGAUGACAUUCAUUUUGAAGUCAUCUUAGCAAAACUAGAUACCUGUUUCUCGCUGUUGUUGCUAUUUCGUUUGUUUGAUCUUAGUAGUAU
RNAcentral lists this unclassified non-coding RNA (207 nucleotides) under Hevea brasiliensis (rubber tree). Lineage: Eukaryota; Viridiplantae; Streptophyta; Magnoliopsida; Malpighiales; Euphorbiaceae. The record is from RNAcentral.